CGGACGGGUGAGUAAUGUCUGGGAAACUGCCUGAUGGAGGGGGAGUAACUACUGGAAACGGUAGCUAAUACCGCAUAACGUCGCAAGACCAAAGAGGGGGACCUUCGGGCCUCUUGCCAUCAGAUGUGCCCAGAUGGGAUUAGCUAGUAGGUGGGGUAACGGCUCACCUAGGUGACGAUCCCUAGCUGGUCUGAGAGGAUGACCAGCCACACUGGAACUGAGACACGGCCCAGACUCCUACGGGAGGCAGCAUG
Molecule: ribosomal RNA, 254 nt
Filed under: uncultured bacterium
Lineage: Bacteria
Description: partial 16S ribosomal RNA
Rfam family: Bacterial small subunit ribosomal RNA
Source: RNAcentral